UCGAGGAUCUUCGGCAAUGGGCGAAAGCCUGACCGAGCGACGCCGCGUGUGGGAUGAAGGCCUUCGGGUUGUAAACCACUGUCAACGGGGAGGAAAUGUAGGGGGGUACUCCCCUCUAUUUGACCUAUCUGUGGAGGAAGUACGGGCUAAGUUCGUGCCAGCAGCCGCGGUAAGACGAACCGUACGAACGUUAUUCGGAAUUACUGGGCUUAAAGGGUGCGUAGGCUGCGCGGUAAGUUGGGUGUGAAAGCCCUCAGCUCAACUGAGGAACUGCACUCAAAACUACCGUGCUCGAGGGAGACAGAGGUAAGCGGAACUCAAGGUGGAGCGGUGAAAUGCGUUGAUAUCUUGAGGAACACCGGUGGCGAAGGCGGCUUACUGGGUCUUUUCUGACGCUGAGGCACGAAAGCUAAGGUAGCAAACGGG
This 426-nucleotide ribosomal RNA is filed under the name uncultured bacterium. RNAcentral describes it as "bacterial SSU rRNA". It matches the Rfam family "Bacterial small subunit ribosomal RNA", at positions 355 to 776 of the family's 1533-position model. The record is from RNAcentral.